This 253-nucleotide ribosomal RNA is filed under the name uncultured bacterium. RNAcentral describes it as "partial 16S ribosomal RNA". It matches the Rfam family "Bacterial small subunit ribosomal RNA", at positions 524 to 776 of the family's 1533-position model. The record is from RNAcentral.
UACGUAGGGGGCAAGCGUUGUCCGGAUUUAUUGGGCGUAAAGAGCGUGUAGGCGGCUUGGUAGGUCCGCUGUGAAAACUCGAGGCUCAACCUCGAGCUGUCGGCGGAAACCACUUGGCUAGAGUCCGGAAGAGGAGAGUGGAAUUCCUGGUGUAGCGGUGAAAUGCGCAGAUAUCAGGAAGAACACCUAUGGCGAAGGCAGCUCUCUGGGACGGUACUGACGCUGAGACGCGAAAGCGUGGGGAGCGAACAGG